GACGAACGCUGGCGGCGUGCUUAACACAUGCAAGUCGAACGGAAAGGCCCUGCUUGCAGGGUGCUCGAGUGGCGAACGGGUGAGUAACACGUGGGUGAUCUGCCCCUUACUUUGGGAUAAGCCUGGGAAACUGGGUCUAAUACUGGAUAGGACCAUGCUGUAGGUGGUGUGGUGGAAAGAUUAGUUUCGGUAAGGGAUGAGCUCGCGGCCUAUCAGCUUGUUGGUGGGGUAAUGGCCUACCAAGGCGUCGACGGGUAGCCGGCCUGAGAGGGUGGACGGCCACAUUGGGACUGAGAUACGGCCCAGACUCCUACGGGAGGCAGCAGUGGGGAAUAUUGCACAAUGGGCGCAAGCCUGAUGCGGCGACGCCGCGUGGGGGAUGACGGCCUUCGGGUUGUAAACUCCUUUCAGCCAUGACGAAGCCCUUGUGGUGACGGUAGUGGUAGAAGAAGCACCGGCUAACUACGUG
This 469-nucleotide ribosomal RNA is filed under the name uncultured bacterium. RNAcentral describes it as "partial 16S ribosomal RNA". It matches the Rfam family "Bacterial small subunit ribosomal RNA", at positions 28 to 507 of the family's 1533-position model. The record is from RNAcentral.